AGAGAGAGACAUGCGCGCAUAUCAAUAAGCGGAGGAAAAGACACUAACAAGGAUUCCCUUAGUAACGGCGAGUGAAGCGGGAAGAGCUCAAAUUUGAAAUCUUCAAGGUUUUACCUUGACGAAUUGUAGUUUAAAGAAGUGUUUUCUGCUGAAGUUUUGGUAAAAGUUCUUUGGAAUAGGACAUCAUAGAGGGUGAGAAUCCCGUAUUUGACCAUUAUUUUCAGCUUUGUGAUACACUUUCAAAGAGUCGGAUUGUUUGGGAAUGCAGUCCAGAAUGGGUGGUAAAUUUCAUCUAAAGCUAAAUAUUGGCGAGAGACCGAUAGCGAACAAGUACCGUGAGGGAAAGAUGAAAAGAACUUUGAAAAGAGAGUUAAACAGUACGUGAAAUUGUCAAAAGGGAAGCGUUUGACACCAGUGUUGUUUUCUCGAAAAUCAAUUAAAAAGUGGCUCGAUUUUGUAUUGCUUGAGACCUUAAAAGCUCACUGUACAUUUUUCGUGUCUUUUUUAAUGCACUUUUCGUUUAACAAGUCAACAUCAGUUUCUUUUGUUGUAAAAGGGUCAUUGGAAGGUGGCUUUCUUUUCGGAGAAAGUGUUUAUAGCCUUUGGCCUCUGCAAUCGGAGAGACUGAGGUCUGCAGCGUAGACUCUUCGGGGUUAGAUACAUUUGUGCUAAGUUAUAGCUUUUUAUAGACAACUUGUUGACUAUAAUUAGUCUUGUAGCUUACUCGCUUAUGCUAUUUUACCUACGCUUAGGAUGUUGAGUCGUAGAGCACGCAG
This 776-nucleotide ribosomal RNA is filed under the name uncultured Neocallimastigales. RNAcentral's name for it is "partial large subunit ribosomal RNA". It matches the Rfam family "Eukaryotic large subunit ribosomal RNA", at positions 23 to 626 of the family's 3401-position model. The record is from RNAcentral. Lineage: Eukaryota; Fungi; Neocallimastigomycota; Neocallimastigomycetes; Neocallimastigales.